GUGUCUGAUCUCAGCAUCAGUCUCUCUCUACCUCUGGAGGUGGAAUAUCAGGAUAACAACACCUACAGCUGUGUGAUCAACAACACCAUCAGCAACCAGACCACACAUCUGGACAUCAACACACUCUGUCAGCCGUGUCCAGAUGAGGAUCUGCAUCUGUUCAACAUUGUGUGGAUUUGUGCUGCUGUUGGGUCUCUGUUGAUUUUAGUGUCUGCCGUGAUGUGCUGCAUCUCCAAGAAAUGUAGAAAAACAGUUCAUAACUGUGAGGAAGACCAAUCUGAUUCAACAUUGUGUAAAGAAAAAUCACGAAAAAAGAAAUCAGACAUGCAGGCUGUUUAUUACAAUGUCCCUAAAAGACGGUGAUAGUAUCUAGCCUAUAGGCUUACUGGAACCAGUGUGUGUUUGCUAAGAAACUAAAAGUGUCUGUGUCAGUGACUGAAGGAGAUUCUGUUACUCUAAACUCUGGUGUUACUAUAAUACAUUGGGAGAACAUGCUGUGGAGUUUUGGAGCCGAAAACACUCUUAUAGCUAAAAUCAGCAUUAAGGAGCAAAUCUUCUCCACAUUUGAUGGCACUGACAGAUUCAGAGACAGACUUAAGAUGGACAGACAGACUGGAUCUCUGACCAUCACAAACAUCACAUCUGAAAAUGCGGGAAUUUAUAAUCUUGAUAUAAGCGGAAAAAAAUGGCCAUCAAAAAUAUUCAAUGUUUCUGUUCAUGCACGUCUGCUUGUUCCUGCCCUCAUCUUCAACUCUUCUCUGUGUUCAUCAUCCCAGUAUAAUUAUUCAGUGUUGUGUUCAGUGGUGAAUGUGAGCGCUGUGAGUCUCUCCUGGUACAAAGGAAACAGUGUAUUGUCCAGCAUCAGUGUGUCUGAUCUCAGCAUCAGUCUCUCUCUACCUCUGGAGGUGGAAUAUCAAGAUAACAACACCUACAGCUGUGUGAUCAACAACACCAUCAGCAACCAGACCACACAUCUGGACAUCAACACACUCUGCCAGCCGUGUCCAGAUGAGGAUCUGCAUCUGUUCAACAUUGUGUGGAUUUGUGCUGCUGUUGGGUCUCUGUUGAUUUUAGUGUCUGCCGUGAUGUGCUGCAUCUCCAAGAAAUGUAGAAAAACAGUUCAUAACUGUGAGGAAGACCAAUCUGAUUCAACAUUGUGUAAAGAAAAAUCACGAAAAAAGCACGUCUGCUUGUUCCUGCCCUCAUCUUCAACUCUUCUCUGUGUUCAUCAUCCCAGUAUAAUUAUUCAGUGGUGUGUUCAGUGGUGAAUGUGAGCGCUGUGAGUCUCUCCUGGUACAAAGGAAACAGUGUAUUGUCCAGCAUCAGUGUGUCUGAUCUCAGCAUCAGUCUCUCUCUACCUCUGGAGGUGGAAUAUCAGGAUAACAACACCUACAGCUGUGUGAUCAACAACACCAUCAGCAACCAGACCACACAUCUGGACAUCAACACACUGUGCCAGCCGUGCGAAGGUUCUCAGAUAGUUUUGAUAUCUGCUGCUGCUGGAUCUCUGAUGACUUUUGUUGGAGUCGGGAUCUUCUGGAUCUGCUGGAAAUGUGGAAACUCUGAUCAAAAAGGCAAGUGUUACAUCAGUGUUACAUACAUGAUUCUUAAACCAGUGAUAAACCCACACGGAAAGAAAAUAUAUGGCCUGUAUAUGCAUCUCAAUUUUGCCUAUAUGUGGCACAUUUACACAUAUGUGCAUAAAGGUUCAUAUAUAUGCAUAUAUCCUCAUUUAGGACCUUUCCAUGUGGAAAUAUUUUAAUCAAUUGAUAGACAAAACUAUUAUUUAGCCCCUCAUCGGUCAGCCCUCUUUUUGAAUUCAUACUUGAUCUAUGCAUAUGAUAUAUAGUUAAUUAAAAUAUGUACAGGAACACAUCCCAGUUAGUAUGUUUUCAUAGGUAAAGUACCUAAAUAUGUUAAUAAUGGAGAUGACAAAUGAAAAAUUUUAUUUAUGAUGCGCUUUUCUUAACCUCAAAGCGCUACAAAACAUACAAUAACUGUGACGAGCCAGAGGCUCAAACCCAUGUUUCUGGUAUGGUAGACCUACGUUCUACCGUUUAACAACAGGAAGAGGUGAUGAACCAAGUUGCUAAGGUACAAGGUCUAGUUCAACAAAAGGUGUUUAUUUAGGAAAUCCAAAAUCAUCAAAAUAGCAGCCAGCCAAAAACACAGGAAGUCUACAAGACUGACUACAGCCAAGCAGGUAACAAACAAAGUUCUCCGUAGAGCACAGGGACAAGAGCACAUCAAACCCAAAAACCAAGUGACAAGUGAAGAAAAGAGGGUAAAAUAAAUAGGCUAGUCUACGACACAGCUGAACAAGAUUAACACAAAUGAACCCAAACAGAAAACACUGGGAAAAAUAGCGACAUCAUGUGGAGAUGAAAAACACCAAUAGUUCAGAAGAUGUCAAUAACAAAAAA
Molecule: non-coding RNA, 2423 nt
Organism: Danio rerio (zebrafish)
Lineage: Eukaryota; Metazoa; Chordata; Actinopteri; Cypriniformes; Danionidae
Source: RefSeq, a predicted model, not a curated record